RNAcentral lists this ribosomal RNA (441 nucleotides) under Candidatus Cardinium hertigii. RNAcentral describes it as "bacterial SSU rRNA". It matches the Rfam family "Bacterial small subunit ribosomal RNA", at positions 221 to 659 of the family's 1533-position model. The record is from RNAcentral. Lineage: Bacteria; Pseudomonadati; Bacteroidota; Cytophagia; Cytophagales; Amoebophilaceae.
UAAAAUGAGCGUACGUCCUAUUAGCUAGUUGGAGAGGUAACGGCUCACCAAGGCUACGAUGGGUAGGGGUUCUUAGUGGAAAGUCCCCCACACUGGCACUGAGAUACGGGCCAGACUCCUACGGGAGGCAGCAGUAGGGAAUAUUGGUCAAUGGGCGCAAGCCUGAACCAGCCAUGCCGCGUGCAGGAUGAAGGCUCUCUGAGUUGUAAACUGCUUUUGUACAGGAGCAAAACAAUCCCUGCGGGGGUUCUUGAGCGUACUGUAAGAAUAAGCACCGGCUAAUUCCGUGCCAGCAGCCGCGGUAAUACGGAAGGUGCAAGCGUUAUCCGGUUUUAUUGGGUUUAAAGGGUGCGUAGGCGGUUUAUUAAGUCAGUUGUGAAAUCCUAGUGCUUAACGCUAGAACUGCGAUUGAUACUAAUAGGCUUGAGUUAAGAAUAGGUA